GGACCUAGAUGCCCAAGGUAUGUACGCCGUCCUUGCCAAGUCUUCCAUCUCCUCUCAUGUACGGCGGGACCUAGACUGAUUACAUUCAUCUUGGGCAUGCAUACGUGGUUGGUGACCUUGCGUGCCGCCAUUGCCGGAGGCUGGCUGGCUGGAUGGACGGGCGUCCGCGGUGCCGGUGUUUUGCAGCCUUACAUCUCAGGGAAGAUGCUUGCUAAAAUGUGUGCAUGCCAAGAUUCCUGCGGUUCCAGACUGAUUGCUGGUGCGGAUGGGAGGUGGAUGCCCGCACGGAUCUGGCG
This is a long non-coding RNA of Triticum dicoccoides, 296 nucleotides long. RefSeq lists it as uncharacterized. The transcript has 3 exons. The record is from RefSeq and is a predicted model, not a curated record. Lineage: Eukaryota; Viridiplantae; Streptophyta; Magnoliopsida; Poales; Poaceae.